AACCUCCCAUUCCCUUUCCCAUCUGACCUCAACACUGGUCUUGGUGGUUUUAAAGGAGGAAGAACACACUGAAGCUGGCCUCACAGUGAUGCAGUCUGCUGAACAUCAGGCCAGACUCAAACAUGU
This is a small nucleolar RNA of Apodemus sylvaticus (European woodmouse), 126 nucleotides long. RefSeq annotates it as small nucleolar RNA SNORA61. The record is from RefSeq and is a predicted model, not a curated record. The transcript has a single exon. NCBI's taxonomy places the organism in Eukaryota, Metazoa, Chordata, Mammalia, Rodentia, Muridae.